GUGCUAAUAAACCUGAAAUCAGUCAAUCACAUUUUCAAACCCUGCGCUGGUGUAUUGGUGUGUAGUAUUUACAUGGUAGAAUGUUACUAGACCUCAGAGAGAUUCUAAUUACUAACUCCCAUCAGGGCUUGGUAUUUGGAAUAUUUCCUGGCAGCAAUGAUUUAAAAAAGUAAGAAACAAUAACCCUUUUAAAGCAGAAUUAAGAUUAUUUAUGACUUUAAUUAAAAAUUGAAAAUUGGCAUUAUUUCAAAAAGCCUUUACAAAAAUGUGAAUUCAUCAAAAAUAACCAUAAAAAUUCCAGGGUGAUAAAGGCACAGUGGAGUAAUGGUCCCAGCCCUAGGGAAUUGUUUUGUUGAAAAGAAUAAAACUCUUUUCUGUCACACCCUGUUAGUCAUGGACUCCUUUAAUAUACCCUGCCUGCCUGCCUGCCUCUAAUCCUCUUUUCAACCUCCCCCUGGACACUAAAUGACAUUAUUUUGGUCUUAACAUGGCUGGCUUUAUGAAGCCUUUCUCUGAAAUCAUGGCCAGUGACAAGCCACCCUCACCCGUAAGACAAAUGUUUAUUAGGAGGGGUAGAGAUCUGGUAAGUGAUGCCCUGGUCAUGGGCAUGGGGCCCUUUCCCACACCUGUUGGAUCCUACUGAAAACCAAGAACCUGAAAACUCAGCAAAAUAUUCAAGCUGUG
RNAcentral lists this long non-coding RNA (684 nucleotides) under Bos taurus (domestic cattle). Its description in RNAcentral is "long non-coding RNA NONBTAT024308". Lineage: Eukaryota; Metazoa; Chordata; Mammalia; Artiodactyla; Bovidae. The record is from RNAcentral.